Molecule: non-coding RNA, 220 nt
Organism: Pelobates cultripes (western spadefoot toad)
Lineage: Eukaryota; Metazoa; Chordata; Amphibia; Anura; Pelobatidae
Source: the annotation of a GenBank genome assembly
GCGCCGAUAAACAGGACGCGGGAACGCUCCACACGGACGAAACCUCUCAUGGGGCAUCAGGGGAACUCACCAAAGCACACCUAACUGAAGCCCUAGAAGCAAUGUCAGACAAAUUAGUGAAAACCUGGCAGACAUCUAUUGAACAACUCAGGAAAGAGGUGCUGGAUAUCGGCAACAGAACGGCACACGUUGAAAACAAAGUGAAUAUGCCAGAGCACAC